This 482-nucleotide ribosomal RNA is filed under the name Galaxiella toourtkoourt (little galaxias). RNAcentral's name for it is "partial 16S ribosomal RNA". It matches the Rfam family "Bacterial large subunit ribosomal RNA", at positions 1926 to 2562 of the family's 2925-position model. Lineage: Eukaryota; Metazoa; Chordata; Actinopteri; Galaxiiformes; Galaxiidae. The record is from RNAcentral.
AACGGCCGCGGUAUUUUGACCGUGCAAAGGUAGCGCAAUCACUUGUCUUUUAAAUGAAGACCUGUAUGAAUGGCAAGACGAGGGCUAGACUGUCUCCUUUUCCCAGUCAAUGAAAUUGAUCUACCCGUGCAGAAGCGGGGAUAAAAUUAUAAGACGAGAAGACCCUAUGGAGCUUUAGACACUAGGAAGCCCACGUCCAACAACUUUCUAUAAAAGGAAAAACUUAAUGGCACCUUACCUACUUGUCUUCGGUUGGGGCGACCGCGGGGGAUAAACCAGCCCCCAUGUGGAAUAGGGAUAUUUUCCUAAAACCAAGAAAUACUUUUCUAAGUAACAGAAAUUCUGACCAAAAUGAUCCGGCAAAGCCGAUCAACGGACCCAGUUACCCUAGGGAUAACAGCGCAAUCCCCUUCCAGAGUCCCUAUCGACGAGGGGGUUUACGACCUCGAUGUUGGAUCAGGACAUCCUAAUGGUGCAACCGC